GUUGCAGUGUCAAAAAGGGGAGAUCGGCGCCUGCGCGGCCAACGGGUUCCCACGCGGCCUCAACGGGAGCCGUGAGGAGGCGGACUCCCAGGCCGGGCUCGCGCUCUGGAUCGCUGAAUCCGGCCUUUCCGGCCAGACUGCCGCGCCUGGGGCCGGAAGAGCCAGCUAGACCUGAGAGUCUGUACCUGCAACCCUGGCGGCGUCCGAGCCCAAGACGGAGUCUGGGAGACAAAGAAGUCCUCGCCGCGGGCCGCUGGAGGAUGACUCCGGCUUCUGCCAGUAGCGAAGUCAGGGAUGGGCCCGAGAGAGCUUGGAAAGAGGACAAGGAAGGGAAGGAGUAGGAGUAGAAAAGCAUGGCUUUGGCUCGAGAUGGGGUCUCGUUAUGUUGACCAGGCUGGUCUUGAACACCUGGCCUGGAGUGAUCCUCUUGCCUCAGCCUCCCAUAGUGCUGCGAUCACAGGUGUGCAUGCCUUCCUUAUUUCUCAUACUCAUCACCUCCUCUUCCCGCUUGGAACUGCCCACACUGGUG
Long non-coding RNA from Symphalangus syndactylus (siamang), 529 nucleotides. RefSeq lists it as uncharacterized. The record is from RefSeq and is a predicted model, not a curated record. Lineage: Eukaryota; Metazoa; Chordata; Mammalia; Primates; Hylobatidae.